GGGGGCGAAAGGAUUCGACUUAGAUGCCUAAGUAAGAGCGGCAUAUCGAGGUGUCUGGAGGCCUCGCAAAACACCAGACAAAAUAUAAAUGCCAACUAUAAUCCAAUAGCAGAAGCAGAAGGAAUUUUGACUUCUGAGGCAUUAGUUACUGUUUAAUCAGUAGCGGUUCGCUUAAUUUGCCUGUGGGUUAAGAUGAAUUAAUAAAGCAGGAUAGCCAAUUAUCUUUUCCUGAAGGAUAGGCGGCGAAAUUUUUUUGGGAUAGCUUCUUUUUUAUCCUGCCUGUUGGAGAUUAAAGAGGUGAAUUUAAACAAUAGGCUAUGUAUGUAGAUGCUCCUACAAGAAGUAUUUAGGGACCGGGGUUCAAAUCCCCGCGCCUCCACCA
RNAcentral lists this transfer-messenger RNA (382 nucleotides) under Candidatus Omnitrophota bacterium. It matches the Rfam family "transfer-messenger RNA". Rfam says of the family: Bacterial tmRNA, also known as 10Sa RNA or SsrA, is named for its dual tRNA and mRNA-like properties. Its role is to liberate the mRNA from a stalled ribosome. The record is from RNAcentral. Lineage: Bacteria; Pseudomonadati; Candidatus Omnitrophota.